CGCGUAGGAAUAUGCCUUAAAGAGGGGGACAACUUGGGGAAACUCAAGCUAAUACCGCAUACGCUCUGAGGAGGAAAGCUGGGGACCUUUUGGCCUGGCGCUUUAAGAUUAACCUGCGUCCGAUUAGCUAGUUGGUGGGGUAGAGGCCUACCAAGGCGACGAUCGGUAGCUGGUCUGAGAGGAUGAUCAGCCACACUGGAACUGAGACACGGUCCAGACUCCUACGGGAGGCAGCAGUGGGGAAUAUUGGACAAUGGGGGAAACCCUGAUGCAGCCAUGCCGCGUGUGUGAAGAAGGCCU
RNAcentral lists this ribosomal RNA (300 nucleotides) under uncultured Legionella sp. RNAcentral describes it as "bacterial SSU rRNA". It matches the Rfam family "Bacterial small subunit ribosomal RNA", at positions 114 to 417 of the family's 1533-position model. Lineage: Bacteria; Pseudomonadati; Pseudomonadota; Gammaproteobacteria; Legionellales; Legionellaceae. The record is from RNAcentral.